AUUGAACGCUGGCGGCAUGCCUUACACACGCAAGUCGAACGGCAGCACGGGUGCUUGCACCUGGUGGCGAGUGGCGAACGGGUGAGUAAUACAUCGGAACAUGUCCUGUAGUGGGGGAUAGCCCGGCGAAAGCCGGAUUAAUACCGCAUACGAUCUACGGAUGAAAGCGGGGGACCUUCGGGCCUCGCGCUAUAGGGUUGGCCGAUAGCUGAUUAGCUAGUUGGUGGGGUAAAGGCCUACCAAGGCGACGAUCAGUAGCUGGUCUGAGAGGACGACCAGCCACACUGGGACUGAGACACGGCCCAGACUCCUACGGGAGGCAGCAGUGGGGAAUUUUGGACAAUGGGCGAAAGCCUGAUCCAGCAAUGCCGCGUGUGUGAAGAAGGCCUUCGGGUUGUAAAGCACUUUUGUCCGGAAAGAAAUCCUUGGCUCUAAUACAGUCGGGGGAUGACGGUACCGGAAGAAUAAGCACCGGCUAACUACGUG
RNAcentral lists this ribosomal RNA (486 nucleotides) under uncultured bacterium. RNAcentral describes it as "partial 16S ribosomal RNA". It matches the Rfam family "Bacterial small subunit ribosomal RNA", at positions 30 to 507 of the family's 1533-position model. The record is from RNAcentral.